UUUGUUUUAACUACACAAAAGAUACUGUAAAGUUCCAUGUCAAGAAUGAACAAUCCCCCUACUGAUCGAACUAUUGAGAGUCAACUUCCCAAAUUCAAGAAAGCUUGAAGCUUUUCUUCGUCCAAUUCAGCUAUGGCCAUAUCUCUUUGCUUCUCUCCUCUCACUUCAACCCCAAAACACUAUUCAAGAAUCCCCCUUUAUAAACCCAUCAACCCCAUUACCACUUUAACAACUCCAAAGAUUUUAAAUCCCAAUUUCAAGAAAGUAAAUUGUGUUCCUGAAAAUUUUCAGAAUCUUUCUGUGAUUCAAGAAAAACCCAGAUGGGAAAACUGGGUGUCAAUUGCAGAAAGUCUUUAUCCUGUUUAUGUAACCGUUGGUGGGGUUGUUGCCUGCUUAAAGCCCUCAACUUUUCUUGGUUUGUCAAGUGUGCUCCUACUUCCUAUAGUUUGGGUCUUUGGUUUAUAAUGCUUGCUAUGGGUCUUACAUUGGAGAUCAAAGAGUUAACUAACUUGUUAUUACAAAAGCCUCUUUCUAUUCUGUUUGGUUGUGCUGCUCAAUAUACUAUUAUGCCAACCUUGGGACUGAUUCUCAGCAAAAUCUUGGGUCUGCCUCCUUCAAUUUCAGUUGGUCUAAUAUUGCUUGCCUGUUGCCCUGGAGGUACAGCGUCUAACGUGGUAACCUUAAUUGCACAAGGAGAUGUCCCAUUAUCAAUAGUGAUGACAGCAUGCACUACAAUUGGUGCAGUGGUUCUGACUCCCUUGUUGACAAUGAUUCUGGCAGGAACUUAUGUUCCUGUGGAUGCUGUUAAGCUUUCUAUCAGCACUCUCCAGGUUGUGGUUGCUCCAAUUCUACUGGGUUCUUAUUUGCAGCACAAAUUUCCGAAAGCUGUGAAAAAAAUUACACCUUUUGCUCCCCUUCUUGCAGUCUUAGCUAUAUCUCUUGUUUCUGCCAGUGUAUUCUCUGAAAAUGUUGGUCGUCUAAGAUCUUCUGUGGUUGGCAUGUCAUUCUCUUCUGAUUUGCCUCUACUCGGUCGUGCUCAGAAUGUGCUAGCUAGCGAAUUCGGACUCGUUGCGGUGUCUGUUGCAUCGCUUCAUUUUGCUGGUUUCUUUGUUGGGUAUCUAUCUGCUGCUUUGGCCGGUUUUAGCGAGCCUCAAAGACGAGCUGUAUCCAUCGAGGUGGGCAUGCAAAAUUGCACCUUGGGUGUGGUUUUAGCGACCUCCCAUUUCUCUUCACCAGGAGUUGCAUUACCUGCUGCAACUUCAGUUAUCAUUAUGAACAUAAUGGGUAGUUGUUUAGGUUUCUUUUGGAGAUGUAUUAACCCUACUCAACCAAAAAGUAGUCUCGAAGUGACUGAUAAAUCUUGAAUAUCAAUGUUGAACCAUAGUGUUCUUUUUCUUUCCAUGUGUACACCUAUCAAUAAAAUUUGUUUUCACCAUUCUCUGAGUUAGCUUAUGAGGCCCAAGCGACGUUGAAAACUCACCAAUUGCUUGCUGGACGAAUCUUUGUUGCUGAUCUAACUAUGGCUUUAUAACUAAGGUAUGUAAUUAUAAGACCUUCAUAAAACGCCUAGGAGUUCACUUUUGAACUUAACAAAGCUGUUUAUAUGUUGCACCAAGCUCUAGCUAUUCAUUGGUCUAGGAAAGGCAACACGAUAUUGAAUCUAUUGUAUCCAGUCUUACCUUGCAUUUAUGCAAGAGGUUGUUUCAAUGACUUGAACCCCUAACCUCAUGGUCCGUUGCAUCAGAACUCCCCUAGAAGUGAAAGUAUGUCUAGUACACAAUAGGGUAGGGACAGUUUGUGAAGGUAUAGGUAGAGCUACUGUUACUUCCAUCAAGUACGAUCCACUAGUUACAUUUUAUCUAGUGAGCUUAAUUCAAUGAAACAUAAUUUGGUGCUAAGUCAAAGAAGAAGAAUGCUAAAAAUGUCAAAAUGUGUGUGCAUUAUAUGCUAAAGAAUCCAUUCCUUUUCCACAUAUAUGCUUAGCAGGACUGUUUCAGGGCAAUUGUUCGACAAAUUGGACAGUAUGGUGUCUGUAUCAACCAUGAAUCAAUGCAUUUGAGAUGGAAACUGUGGUUGCAAUUUGUCAGCAAUCUGCAGUUUUCUCCUGUCUUGAAUCUUUCUAAGCACACAGCACAUUCCGAGAAAUGAAAUAUCAGGAGAACAAUUAUUCCCAAAGAAAAGAAGAUCACAGAUAUUAUAAUGCCCAUUAUGCACCAAAGAAACUUCCGCGCAAUCCUUGGUCAGAAUAUGGCGAAAAACAGAGAAGUUUUUGGAGAAAUGAUCAUACAUCAAACAACAUUGAUCGUUGCAAGGUACUAUGGAACAUGUUUUAAGUUUUCCUGAUUAGUUGUGUUUUUCGUCUAUAAUGGAAGUAGCUAGACAUGUAUUGUUUUGGUGCUACAGACAGACAAUAAGAGAAGGUUAAUCAUUAUGAAGGAAUAAAAUUAUUACUACUAAUUUGUCAAAACUUAAGCACAACAUAUACAGCUUAGCAAUGUUUUCAUGA
RNA transcript from Solanum tuberosum (potato), 2506 nucleotides. It is a transcript of the gene named probable sodium/metabolite cotransporter BASS1, chloroplastic, with no coding region annotated. The transcript has 8 exons. Lineage: Eukaryota; Viridiplantae; Streptophyta; Magnoliopsida; Solanales; Solanaceae. The record is from RefSeq and is a predicted model, not a curated record.